AUUGAACGCUGGCGGCAUGCUUUACACAUGCAAGUCGAACGGCAGCGCGGGCUUCGGCCUGGCGGCGAGUGGCGAACGGGUGAGUAAUACAUCGGAACGUGCCCAGUAGUGGGGGAUAGCUCGGCGAAAGCCGGAUUAAUACCGCAUACGACCUGAGGGUGAAAGCGGGGGAUCUUCGGACCUCGCGCUAUUGGAGCGGCCGAUGGCAGAUUAGCUAGUUGGUGGGGUAAAGGCCUACCAAGGCGACGAUCUGUAGCUGGUCUGAGAGGACGACCAGCCACACUGGAACUGAGACACGGCCCAGGCUCCUACGGGAGGCAGCAGUGGGGAAUUUUGGACAAUGGGCGAAAGCCUGAUCCAGCAAUGCCGCGUGUGUGAUGAAGGCCUUCGGGUUGUAAAGCACUUUUGGCGGGAACGAAAAGGACUGUGCCAAUACCACGGUUCGAUGACGGUACCCGCAGAAUAAGCACCGGCUAACUACGUG
Molecule: ribosomal RNA, 484 nt
Filed under: uncultured bacterium
Lineage: Bacteria
Description: partial 16S ribosomal RNA
Rfam family: Bacterial small subunit ribosomal RNA
Source: RNAcentral